UACGUAGGGGGCUAGCGUUGUUCGGAAUUACUGGGCGUAAAGCGCACGUAGGCGGCUUUGUAAGUUAGAGGUGAAAGCCCAGGGCUCAACCCUGGAAUUGCCUUUAAGACUGCAUCGCUUGAACAUCGGAGAGGUAAGUGGAAUUCCGAGUGUAGAGGUGAAAUUCGUAGAUAUUCGGAAGAACACCAGUGGCGAAGGCGACUUACUGGACGAUUGUUGACGCUGAGGUGCGAAAGCGUGGGGAGCAAACAGGAUUAGAAACCCCCGUAGUCC
Molecule: ribosomal RNA, 273 nt
Filed under: uncultured bacterium
Lineage: Bacteria
Description: partial 16S ribosomal RNA
Rfam family: Bacterial small subunit ribosomal RNA
Source: RNAcentral